ACCUUGUCGUCGCGUUCCAGCAUUCCUUGUUUCCACGUCACAGACUCACAGCUGUACCCUGCCUCUCUCCCAAAGACAGCUGUGAGAGGAUCCAGCACACCCGCUACCCUAAUGAGGAUAAGCGGUAUAGAAAAUGGAUGGUUAGAUGUAUUAUGGACUUUGUCCAAACGCACCAUUCAGUCCAGCUGGGCUGCAGCAAUUAUCCCUUUCGUCAUUGGCUGCAGAAAGUUUUGUUCUACUCCGCUUCCAGCCCUACAACUCUUACUGCCACCAAUGGUGCGCUGUGAGCGACAACGGCAGCUACUGCGACGCCCCGUCGCCGCAGUUGGCCCUCUCCUCACCCUUUCUCCAAGCUGAUUGCCUGUCGCGACGUGAUUUGUGGCUUGAUGUUCAAACUUCCCAACCUGAGCGAGUGAAGACGAAGAAGAAACAAAUGUUUGCAUGCUUGCCCCACUUGCGUCGCAUCAAACGCGUCAUAUCGCCCGGCACAUAUUCAUUCCAACUGCAUUGACUUUAUACGUCUGUAAUCACGUCACGUGAAUAGUUACAUUUGUGUCCAGUGUGAAUGCAGCAUAAGUCAGACAAGCAUUAGUUGCUAACUUGCUAUUAUGUGCGUGCGUGCAUGUGUCAUAUUUGUUGUGGCAGGUCCGCCUGUAAACUAAUGCAAGAAGUAAAUGGACUGACCUUCAUAAAGCAACAAUCUCCAAAGCGCCCAAAGUUAAUGCCUUUCAUUCACCCAUAUAAACACACACACAGACACACACACUUAAUUAAUACGGAAGCAGAAAGGCACCAAAAACAACAGUUUUUU
Long non-coding RNA from Phyllopteryx taeniolatus (common seadragon), 811 nucleotides. RefSeq lists it as uncharacterized. The transcript has 3 exons. The record is from RefSeq and is a predicted model, not a curated record. NCBI's taxonomy places the organism in Eukaryota, Metazoa, Chordata, Actinopteri, Syngnathiformes, Syngnathidae.